This 75-nucleotide transfer RNA is filed under the name Limobrevibacterium gyesilva. RNAcentral describes it as "tRNA-Thr". It matches the Rfam family "tRNA". From Rfam's summary of the family: Transfer RNA (tRNA) molecules are approximately 80 nucleotides in length. Lineage: Bacteria; Pseudomonadati; Pseudomonadota; Alphaproteobacteria; Acetobacterales; Acetobacteraceae. The record is from RNAcentral.
GCUGCUGUAGCUCAGUGGUAGAGCACUCCCUUGGUAAGGGAGAGAUCGACAGUUCAAUCCUGUCGUGCAACACCA